CCCUACGGGGGGCUGCAGUCGGGAAUUUUGGGCAAUGGGCGAAAGCCUGACCCAGCAACGCCGCGUGAAGGAUGAAGUAUUUCGGUAUGUAAACUUCGAAAGAAUGGGAAGAAUCAAUGACGGUACCAUUUAUAAGGUCCGGCUAACUACGUGCCAGCAGCCGCGGUAAUACGUAGGGACCAAGCGUUGUUCGGAUUUACUGGGCGUAAAGGGCGCGUAGGCGGCAAUUCAAGUCAGCCGUGAAAUCUCUGGGCUUAACUCGGAACGGUCAGCUGAUACUGUUUUGCUAGAGUGUAGAAGGGGCAAUCGGAAUUCUUGGUGUAGCGGUGAAAUGCGUAGAUAUCAAGAGGAACACCAGAGGUGAAGACGGGUUGCUGGGCUGACACUGACGCUGAGGCGCGAAAGCUAGGGUAGCAAACGGGAUUAGAUACCCCGGUAGUC
Molecule: ribosomal RNA, 441 nt
Filed under: uncultured bacterium
Lineage: Bacteria
Description: bacterial SSU rRNA
Rfam family: Bacterial small subunit ribosomal RNA
Source: RNAcentral